Long non-coding RNA from Priapulus caudatus, 274 nucleotides. RefSeq lists it as uncharacterized. The transcript is spliced from 3 exons. The record is from RefSeq and is a predicted model, not a curated record. Lineage: Eukaryota; Metazoa; Priapulida; Priapulimorpha; Priapulimorphida; Priapulidae.
CUGCUCGACGACCUGACGACCGCCUCGAACACUGGGAGGAGAACCCGCGGCUGGCGGACAUCUUUGUGCGCUUCGGACCGUUCCUGAAGCUCUACACCUCCUACAUCAAGGACUUCCAGCAGAUGUGUGAGACACUGGACGAGGCGCGCAAGAAGUACCCGGCCUUCAACGCAGUCGUCACCGAGUUUGAGGCGCGGGAACGCUGCGCGCAUCUGGCGGUGAAACACUACAUGCUCAAGCCGAUCCAACGCCUGCCCCAGUACCGCCUCCUGCU